GUUAACCGAAUAGGGGAGCCGAAGGGAAACCGAGUCUUAACUGGGCGUUAAGUUGCAGGGUAUAGACCCGAAACCCGGUGAUCUAGCCAUGGGCAGGUUGAAGGUUGGGUAACACUAACUGGAGGACCGAACCGACUAAUGUUGAAAAAUUAGCGGAUGACUUGUGGCUGGGGGUGAAAGGCCAAUCAAACCGGGAGAUAGCUGGUUCUCCCCGAAAGCUAUUUAGGUAGCGCCUCGUGAAUUCAUCUCCGGGGGUAGAGCACUGUUUCGGCAAGGGGGUCAUCCCGACUUACCAACCCGAUGCAAACUGCGAAUACCGGAGAAUGUUAUCACGGGAGACACACGGCGGGUGCUAACGUCCGUCGUGAAGAGGGAAACAACCCAGACCGCCAGCUAAGGUCCCAAAGUCAUGGUUAAGUGGGAAACGAUGUGGGAAGGCCCAGACAGCCAGGAUGUUGGCUUAGAAGCAGCCAUCAUUUAAAGAAAGCGUAAUAGCUCACUGGUCGAGUCGGCCUGCGCGGAAGAUGUAACGGGGCUAAACCAUGCACCGAAGCUGCGGCAGCGACACUGUGUGUUGUUGGGUAGGGGAGCGU
RNAcentral lists this ribosomal RNA (593 nucleotides) under Escherichia coli. RNAcentral describes it as "partial 23S ribosomal RNA". It matches the Rfam family "Bacterial large subunit ribosomal RNA", at positions 645 to 1239 of the family's 2925-position model. The record is from RNAcentral. Lineage: Bacteria; Pseudomonadati; Pseudomonadota; Gammaproteobacteria; Enterobacterales; Enterobacteriaceae.